CUAUUGGCCUUCCUCAAGGCCACAAAGAUUUUCUCCUGUGUUUUAU
This is a non-coding RNA of Felis catus (domestic cat), 46 nucleotides long. NCBI's taxonomy places the organism in Eukaryota, Metazoa, Chordata, Mammalia, Carnivora, Felidae. The record is from Rfam.